RNAcentral lists this ribosomal RNA (3648 nucleotides) under Triticum aestivum (bread wheat). RNAcentral's name for it is "partial small subunit ribosomal RNA". The record is from RNAcentral. Lineage: Eukaryota; Viridiplantae; Streptophyta; Magnoliopsida; Poales; Poaceae.
GGUCAAGGUCCACAAUGGUACGAUCGACACUGACUGAACAAGACACCUCGGCCAAGGAAAACAUUCUCUCUGGCCAUUUAGCAGAGUUGGCUGUACAAGACCCUGCCUGCUCUACAUUUGCACGUCUUGCUCUACUUAGUACGCACACGCUCUGCCCAACUUGGAGAUAUCUUCUCAUCCUUUGCUCGGAAAGGAAGAAUCACCAAAGUCCAUAGCACCGCACCUGCAUUCGACGAUGAAGCCUUCGGCAUGAUUAGCACAGCCAGCCAUCUCUGGUGUGUGACGUCGUCUCUUCAGACAUAAUCUGCAAAUUGAAUUUGAUUCUCUUUUUGAAGACUCAAAGAUCAAAUAAAACGAUUUGAUUUGCCCAAAGAAGUCACAGUUAUUCAACACUGAAGCUUGAUUUUUGGAACUAUUUUUGCUAGUAAAAUAUUGAGGUCAAACAGUGUGAAGAGAAAUGGCGGAGGCAGCUCUUCUUCUUGUCACCACAAAGAUCGGAGUAGCUGUGGCAAAGGGAGCACUGAGCUACACUGGACUUCCAAAGAAAGCUGGGUAUGUUGCAGAACUCCCAAGUAACAUGAGAGUGAUAAAGAACGAUCUUGAGCUUAUCCAAGCAUUUCUCAAGGAUAUUGGCAGGAAAGGUUGGACAGAUCGAGUCCCUGAAAUUUGGAUAGGGCAAGCCCGAAGAUUGGCGUAUGAGAUGGAAGACAUUGUGGAUCAGUUUAUUUAUGUGGUUGGUAAACACCACCACGAAGCGGCAUGGUGGGGUUAUGUGAAGAAAAUCGUGAAGAAACCCAAGUCUCUGCUUACACUGGAUGAAAUUGCUACCGCUCUUAAUAUGAUAAACCGAGAGCUUAUACAGCUUAAACAAAAUAGAGACUGGUUUCAACCAAUAAUCGAUGUGAGUGAUGUUCCUGCAACAAGUUAUGACAUCCAACACCAACAGUACCUUCCUGGAUAUGAUUACUCAAUCUCUGAUAAUGAGCUUGUAGGAUUAGAAAAAAAUAAAGAUGACUUGAUGAAGUCACUGGAUUUGGGAGUUUCUUCAAACCUACAGAUCUCUGCUGUGUGGGGUAUGGGUGGCAUUGGGAAAAGCACUCUUGUCAAUCAUGUGUUUACGGCGUCCAAUUUUGACUGCAAGGCAUGGGUUUCUGUCUCUCAAUCAUAUAAGCUAGAUGAUAUUUGGAGAAGCAUGAUGAAUGGAAUCAAAUCUAAAGAGGAGAAAGAAUUUGAUGCUGAGAAGAUGAGCAGCAUAGAGCUGACAGAUAAAUUGAAGGAAAUCCUAGGGACAAAGAGAUACUUGAUCGUACUGGAUGAUGUGUGGGCAGCCAAAGUUUUUUUCGAAAUUAAACAUGUUUUUGUUGAUGAGCACAUGGGAAGCAGAAUAAUAAUCACAACAAGAACUAAGGAAGUUGCAGCAGCUCAUGAUGGCUGCAUGAUCGAAGUGGAGCCUCUUGACGAGAAGAAGGCAUGGCUUUUAUUUUGUAGGAAGGCAUUUCCAAGAAUUGAAAACCACAUCUGCCCCAAAGAGUUACAUGAGUAUGCUAAAUCCAUUGUGGAGAAGUGUGGUGGUUUACCGCUAGCUCUUGUGACCAUAGGGAGCAUACUGUCUCUUAAAGUCAAAACUGUUACAGAGUGGAGGCUAUUUCAUGACCAGCUUAUCUCGGAGCUACACAACAAUGACAACCUAAGUCGUGUGCAGAAUAUUCUGAAUCUAAGCUACAAAUACUUGCCUGACUAUUUGAAGAAUUGUUUCCUGUAUUGUGCCAUGUUCCCAGAAGACCACAUGAUCCACAGAAAAAGAUUGAUUAGAAUGUGGCUUGCAGAAGGGUUUAUUGAACAAAUUGGAAAUUGCAGUUUAGAAGAUGUUGCUGAAGGUUACCUGACACAGCUCGUUCAACGAAGCAUGCUUCAUGUGGUAGAGAGGAACAGUUUUAACAGGAUCAAAUGUGUUCGAAUGCAUGAUCUUGUGCGUGAAUUGGCCAUUUUCCAGUCCAAGAGAGAGAGUUUCGGUACAACUUAUGAUGAUAGUCAUGGGGUGAUGCAGGUGGAGUCAGAUUCUCGUCGUUUGUCAGUGCUCCAAUGCAAAAAUGAUAUUCAACCAAGCAUAGGUCAAUGCAGGCUUCGUACCUUCAUAGUAUUUAGCACCAGCAAGACAUCAUCUUCAUUGUUUCAGUCAGAAUCUAAAUACCUUGCUGUGUUGGAGCUAUCAGGAUUACCUAUUGAGACUAUUCCAGACUCAAUUGGUGAGUUAUUCAACCUUAAAUAUUUGGGCCUUGACAAGACCGAUGUGAAGAUACUCCCAAGAUCUGCCGUGAAGCUUCACAACUUAGAAACACUGAGUCUUCAAGAUACAAACUGUCUGCAUCUCCCUCGAGGGUCUGAAAAACUAAAGGGAUUGCAGCACAUUUUUAUGUAUAAAGUGCUGGAUAAAGCAUUCUCGGUUACCAACAGUGUUGAACCUAUGGAACCGUUUGACGGACUGUGGAGUUUGAAGAACUUGCAUACCCUGAAGGCCGUUCGAGCUAGUGAAAUUUACGUUGCAAAACUAGCAAAUUUAUCUCAGCUGAGGACCCUUAGCAUUAUAGGGGUAAGGAGCAUCCACUGUGCACAGCUGUGUGACUCUCUGUGAAAGAUGCACCAGCUCUCACUAUUAGAAAUAGUAGCAAGCAACGAAAAUGAGGUGCUCCAGCUUGAAACUUUGACACUGCCAAACCCUCUUCAGAAGCUCAUUUUUGCAGGGCGAUUUUCGGAAGGAACUUUGAAAUCUCAAUAUUUCUCAAACCAUGGAGAUGCACUUCACACGAUAUCCCUAUACUGUUCCCAGCUCGUGGAGAACCCAUUUCCACGCCUCUCUGAAUUUUUUAGUUUGACCAAAAUAUUUCUUAAAAGGGCGUAUACUGGACAAGAGCUAAACUUCCAUCCAGGGUGGUUCCCGAAUGUGAAGGUUAUUUUCUUGAUGGAUUUGCCACACGUCAACAAAAUACACAUACACGAGGGAACUUUGGUCCUCCUUGAAGAACUUGUGAUUAGUAACCUUGAAGAACUGGAGAGCAUCCCUACAGGCGUUGAAUAUCUGAAAUCCCUCAAAGAGGCAUUCUUUCUUAAAAUGCAUCCUAAUUUCGAAAGGAAUUUUCCAACGACAAAACUAAAUCAUGUCCAGACAGCCCGCUACAGUAUACGAUCCGAAGUGGCAUGAGCCUUUCUUGGGUGGCUGGGGUUUGCAGUCAUUAUCGUCGGCGAGGGAGCUGUAUACAUCUCUGUUGUGCAAUGGAGAGUUAUGGGACAAGUGUCAUUUUUCUUGCUAUUAUCAUUUCUGCUUAUUCAAACAAGAACAACUGGUUUGUAAUAAGGCAUGGGAAUUAUUUCUGUUCUUGCCAUCCAUAUUGAUUUUACAGUAUUUAUGUUUAGUGGUGCUAAGCUACUGCUUCGAGAUAAUUAUUAUGUAUUUUUACAUAGUGAUUCAUGUAAUAAUGUUGAAAACUUCAGUUACUUUCUCGACACAUGUUCAAUACUAGAAAACGAACCUUAUUUGCCACUGCAUGCCAUGCCCCAGUGCAAAGCAUCAGAACAUUUUGAUCAUCGUUCGCGGCUGCUGAGGUUCAGAACUUCACAGUCCAGUGUCUUUUAGCUCUUGUCUGGAGAAAU